AAUAAGGUAGGAUAAUUUUAGUCUGUCAGGUUCAUACCCUGGGGGUUUUCUUGUUAU
RNAcentral lists this transfer RNA (57 nucleotides) under Syngamus trachea. RNAcentral describes it as "tRNA-Met". Lineage: Eukaryota; Metazoa; Nematoda; Chromadorea; Rhabditida; Syngamidae. The record is from RNAcentral.